AAAUUUCAAAAAUCACCUCUAUAUUUUCGUACUUUUUUAUUUUAAUAUUCUGUGGUUUAAAAUGUAUCAAUUUAGUAGCUUGUGGUUUCAUUUUUCUCUUUUUGUCAGCUGUCCCCUUAACAUUUCGUUAAAUUAUAUACAAAAAAACUUCAGAUACCUCACUUAGAUUUAUUGAAUAUUUACUUAGUAUAUUUUACUUUUAACUUUAUCAUUGAUUUAACGAAAAAAAUUAGAGUGAGGAAUAAUAAAAAGAGAAAAAUAAAAUUACGGCGUACUAAAUGAAUACACUUUAAACCAUAAGGUACCAAAGUGAGAAAGUGCCGAUCCACAUGAGUGCUAUUUGAAGUUUUUCCUAAAAAGUAUAUAUAUACAUAUUCAAGGAGUAGAGUUAGAAUAAUAUCGGUAGCAAAUGAGUCCAUCACUACCGAUUUUGUUUUCAAUGAUGGAGCUUUCCGAAUCAACAAUCGACACUGUUGAACAUGAUCUAAACUAAUUGAAGUAUCUUAAAUUAAAUUUUAAAUUUUUUCAAUAUUAAUGACCUAAUGAUCAAAGUAUCACAAAUUUAUUAUUUUAAUAGUCAAUGCAAGACAUUUUCUUGUUUAACCUUAUAAAAAAUUCAAAUCAGUUGAAUUUUUGUUAGAAAUUUUUAAAAACUAUUUAAAACAAGAUUUACAAUCUUAAUCUUGAUUGCAAAAAUUUUAUUAUCACUUUUUGAAGGAUAUUUAUUUUCACCUGUUCAUUUUUAUGUCCACUCGAUGUACAAGAGAAAAAUAUCGAGAGAAUAUAAAACUUAAUUUCUAGAUAUUUUAAGUGGUCAAGGUCAUAUUUAACGAUAUCGAUUGUCGAUUCAGAAGCUUUAUCAUCGAAAACAAGUCGAUAGCAACGGAGGUCGUUUGCUACCGAUAAUAUUCUAGUCUAACCCUACAUUCUAGUACUUCAUACUUUUGAAAACUUUAUUUUACUAUCUUAACCAAUCACCAAAAGCUCCAAAAAUUAUUGUCUCCUCUUAGUGCAUCCUUAUGUCCACACGCGACGUACACUCCACAAUACCUUCUAUUUCAACUCUUACUUCAAUAUAUAUUUAACCCUAACCUUAUUAUAACGAACUUUUAUCAUGUAAAAUUUCGAUCUUUUAUUACGGAGUAU
Molecule: long non-coding RNA, 1146 nt
Filed under: Ananas comosus (pineapple)
Lineage: Eukaryota; Viridiplantae; Streptophyta; Magnoliopsida; Poales; Bromeliaceae
Description: long non-coding RNA (ACOM_LNC011517)
Source: RNAcentral